CUAGACAUCAUCAGCCGUUUUUUAAAAGGAAAAAGAACUAAAAAAUGAAAAAAGCUCUUCUUCUUCAUGAAGAUUGAACAAAAUGCAGAACCCUAGUCUUCUUCUUCAUGGCAACAACGGAAACCUGAAGAUCAGGCCUGAACCAAAAACGACCCAUCCCCACCAUCUUCUUCAGUGAGCAAAAACGCCUAAGUCUAGGAAUCAGACGCAAUAACACAAAAAAUCAGGUCCCCCACAUUGAUCUUCUUCUGCUCGAAUAUAAACAACCAUUUUAAACUUUCCUAUACAAAAAAGAAUAGCCAUAUUCGAUGAGUUGUUCCAUCGGUUUUUUUAUCAAAAAAAGCUUCUUCUUCUUGCUGGAAAACGCAGCAACAUAACCAUGAAAUACAAUCUAGAAAACCCAUCUAAACAAGUAGAGUUCGAGUCAGGAUAGUCGAGCCGAGCAACAAAACUCUGUCGAAAUCCGGUGGAGCUUCUCGUGGAGGUUCUGUUCGAGGUCUCUGAUCGAUGGCUCGAUUUUGGACUUUUGGUUCGAAAUUUUUCUUUUAGUUCAUUUCAUUGUCAAUCCCGUCAGUUUGAGGUUAAUUUCCUCCCCUUUCUUUUUUUGUGUUCUUACGUUUUUGUAUCUAGUCACACCAGUUGGUUUUGAUGGAUUUAAUGCAACUUUACAUCUUGGCCUUACAUGAUUAAUAUGUGAUUGGACCUAGUAUUUUCCUGAAGGAAGACAUAUAGUUAGUAAUUCUUAUUGUAGGAUUUGCUAAGUAAAAGAUGUUGGGGAAGCAGUGGUUUGGGGCUAGAAAAUGAAAUCUAAGUUUCAGAUUAUUAUUUUUCGUAAUAGGAUUUUCUUUAGUUGAGCUAUAGUUUAAAUUGAUAUUUUUAUCUCAAUGUUAGGAGCAUGUUAGGCCGACCAUACCUGGGUAGGCGAACCUUUAGGCAUGUAAUUAAAUCAUCACAACAACGGGUAUGCUUCCCAUGGCGUGGUUGUGAUACUUAAUUUCAAAUUAGUUGUAAAAAUGAAUAUCCGUAGUUCACUUAGUUGAAUGCCUUUACUUUAAUAAAAUCUAGGUGCGCCAUACGCAAACAAAAUCCAUAAUCUAUGUCCCUCAUAUUAAUUAUCUUAACUAGUGUAAAAAAUGCCUUGAACUUUCGGAGUUUGAUUUAGGCGCGUUAAUUAAAUAAUUGUCAUGGCUACGGGUACGACUCUCGUGACAUAGUUGUGAUGCUUAAUUUCUAAAAUCCUAGGGUACAUUUAUGUGACCCAACAACAAUUUAAUUUUGUUAAUAAAACAAACAUGUUGUAGAUCGUGGGUGCGGUUCCCGUGACAUGAUUCGCUAUGUAUAGUCAAAUAAUUAGUUGAUGUGACGACCUGUCCAGUCGUCUUAAGAAUUAACGCCCUGAUCCCCUAUUAACUACUUUCCCCAAGUUUAUUUAUGUUAUUUCUAUUUGUCGGGAUGUCCAGUUUUGAGUUUCGGAGAGUUUUGGGACACUUAGUCCCUAAAUGAGAGCUAAAGUGUUGGAAAGUUGAACGUAGUUGGAACAGUGUGAAGACGGCCUCGGAAUUGAAAUACAAUGGUUUUGUUAGCUCCGUUGGGUGAUUUCGGGGUUAGGAGCUUGUUUGAAGUGUGUCUUGGAGGUCCGUAGCUAAUUUAGGCUUGAAAUGCCGGAAGUUGAGUUUUUGAAGUUUGUGGUUCGAUAGUGAGAUUCUAAUUCAAGGAUCGGAAUGGAAUUACGAGAGUUGUAGUAGUUCCGUCAUGUCAUUUGGGAUAUGUAUACAAAAUUUCAGUUCAUUCGGACGAGGUUUGGUAGACUUUUUGAUCGAAAGUGUGUUUUACAGUUUUUGGAAAUUUUAAGCUUGAAUCCGAUGAAAAAUAAGUGUUUUGAUGUCGUUUUGAGCAUUUCGAAGGUUGGAACAAAUUUGGAUGUGGUUUUAGGAUUGGUUGGCAGGUUGGGUUGAGGUCCCGGGGGCCUCGGGUGUGUUUCGGAUGCUCAACGGGUCAUUUUUGAAACUUAGGAAAUUGCAGAAAAAAUUGCAACAGUCAGUUCUGGUUUCCUUCUUCGCGUUCACGAGUGGGUUCUCGUGUUCUCGAAGUGGAGCUUGGAUUAGGGGAAAAUUUGGCCUUCGCAUUCGCGAUAGGGCCUUCGCGUUCGCAAAGAACUGGAUGGUUGUGCUAUGCAUUCGCGAUUGGGCUUAGCGUUCGUUGAAGAGGAAUUGGCCCAAAGGAGUUUUGUGUAUCGCAUUCGCGUGAUGCCCGUCGCGUUUGCGAAGGUUCGUCUGUGCAAGGCAUCACGUUCGCGAAGUAAAGGACGCGUUCGCGAAUAAGGAAAAAUGGUCAAAGUUAUUUUGUGCUUCGCGAAUGCGAGGCUUUGACCGCGUUCGCGAAGAAGGAAUUUUCUGGGCAGAUAUAAGAUUUCAAAAUCGAUGGUUUGGCCAUAUUUAUCAAAACUUAAGCAUGGGAGCUCGGAUUUUGAGCGAAAUUUUGAGGGAUUUUCAGAGGUAUCGAUUGGGUAACGAUUCUUAUCUCAUUUUUGCUUGUAACCCAUUAAUCUAAACAUGAAUUCAUCCUUUAAUUUCGGAAUUUGUAUGAAAAUUGGGGAAAAAAGUUCUUAGGCCAAGAAAUUGAGUUUUGAUUGGGGAUUUGACAUCGGAUUUAAAUAAUUUUUGUAUGAUUAGACUCGUGAGAGUGUGAGUAUUAUGAAACUAUAAAUUUUAUCCAAUUCCGAGACGCUGGUCCGAGGGGCGUUUUGGUCCUUUUACAUAAUUUCGCAUAUUAGCUUAGAAUUUAAUUAUAGAAUCAGUUACUUGAAGUGUUAUUUACAUUAUUCAAUUGAAUUGAAUAGAUUUGGGCCAUUUGGAGUCGAGUACUCGUGGCAAAGAUGUGGUGUUGGGUUGAUUUUGAGCCGGUUCGAGGUAAAUGGCUUGUCUAACCUUGUGUGGGGGACCUUCCCCAUAGGAUUGGUAUAUUUGGUAAUUUAAAUGCCUUGUACGUGAGGUGACGAGUGAGUACUUGUGCUAAUUGUUGGAAACCCGAUUUUCUUUAAGUACUUACUAGUAUGUUUUCUUUCCUGUUUCUAUUACUUGCAUUAUUAAGCAUGUUGUUAGCUUAGGAAAGCAUGUCUAAGUGACUUAAUUGCUUCAUUUGAUUUAACCUGCCUUACUUGAAUUAUGUGCAGCAUGUUAGGCUAGAAUCACUUAUUGCCUUAAUAUGAAUUUUGCUAUUUAUGUUUAUCUUCCUACUGCUGCUGUGUAUUUAUUUUGGGACUACGGAUGUGGAAUUCCGGUAGCUCCACCUUGUCUAUUUACUUUGGGACUACGCGUUAGAUUCCCGGUAGAUCCCCCUGCACAUUUACUUUGGGACUAUGGGUUAGAUUCCCGGUAGAUCCCCCUGCAUAGUUAUAUAGAACUACGGGAAUGCACCCGGUAGAUUCCCCCAGUACUGGGUAUUUACAUUUGGGAUUACAGAUUGUGAUUCCGGUAGAUCCCCAUGCAUCGAUAGUUGGACUACGGGACAGGAUCCCGGGAGAUCCUUCGGACAUAUAUAUGAUGGACUACGGGACGGUAUCCCGGGAGAUCUACUGGACAGUUGUAAUUGGGACUACAGGACGGUAUCCUAGAAGGUGCCCCGAUUGUUAUCUCUGUAUCGAGCUGUAUUUUUUUCUGUGGCUUGUUUUGUCUCUGUUCUAUUUGUUGUUCUGUCAAUUCUAUGUUAUUUCUUACUGUUGCACUUAUUUAUACUGUUUUAUUCCACAUUGUUAACCCUUAUAUUGUAUUUAACCUCAGUAGGGCCAUGACCUUCCUCGUCACUACCCAACCAAGGUUAGGCUUGGUACUUACUAAGUACAAAUGUCGUGUACUCAUGCCUCUUCUGCGCAUGUUUUUCAUGUGCAGAUCCAGGUACUUCUACUCAGGCCUACCAUCCUUGAGGUAAGUGACUACUUAGAUACUUUGAGGUACAUCUUUCGCGUCCGCAGAUCGAGGAGUCCCUUUGUAUUCCUGCCCUUUUUUUGUAUUUAGCCCUUAUGUACUUUCUGUUCUUAUUAGACAGAUUCCGGAGUUAGAGCUAUGUAGUAUUUCCUUUUCUUAGCUUGUGAUUCGUGGGUUUCCGGGUCUUGGAUUUAGAUAUUGGUUUUGAGAUCUAUAUAAAUAUAGUGUAUGCUGAGCGGCACAUUUAACAUUGUUAUUGCCUUAUUUCUGUUUUUAAACUGUUUAACUUCCGCAAGUUUUGGUUAUCUUCCGCAACUUUAGGCUUACCUAGUCGUAUAGACUAGGUUCCAUCACGAUGGUUCAUGGAAGGCGAACCGGGGUCGUGACAAGUUGGUAUUCAAGCUCUAGGUUCAUAGGAGUCAUAGAUCAUAAGCCGGUUAAUUAGAGUCUCGCUGAUCAGUACGGAGACGUCUGUACUUAUCUACGAGAGUCUAUAUAACUGUUAGGAAAAUUUCUACUUCAUUUAAUUUCCUUGUCAUGCGAUAUUUCGACAUCACAAUUCUAAACUUCUGUUUUCUAUUCUCUCACAGAUGGUGAGGACACGUGCUACUCGAGAUGAUCAAGCACCCGUGCCCCCUACUGCAGCCGUCAGAGGCCGGGACCGGGGUAGAGGCUGAGGACGCGCACGUGGUGCAGUCAGAGCACAUGCACGAGCUACCACCAAGGUAGCACCUGCAGUUCCAGCCGAAGUCCAGGCACCUGACAUGCCUACUGCUACUACUACUCCAGCUCUUCAAGAGACUCUGGCAGAGUUCAUGAGCAUGUACACCACUUUCGCUCAGGUAGGGUUGGUUCCCCUUGCUGCAGCUAAGUCCUAGGAUGGGGGAGGAGCAUAGACUCUCGUCGCUUGCACUCCUGAGCAGCGAGUGCAUGGUGAGAAGGUCCCUGAGAUUAUUCAUGUACCACCUGCAAUG
This 4897-nucleotide long non-coding RNA is filed under the name Nicotiana tabacum (common tobacco). RNAcentral's name for it is "long non-coding RNA (NTAB_LNC003469)". Lineage: Eukaryota; Viridiplantae; Streptophyta; Magnoliopsida; Solanales; Solanaceae. The record is from RNAcentral.